UGGGGGAGGAAGGGGGGGAAGUGAGCAAGAGGCUGCGUGACUCUGAGUUCCUGGCUGGACUUAAACCAUGACACUGCUGAACCCAGGAUACUUCUUAAUUCAGCUCUUAAUCAUUUAGAGUAUCUGUCUCAGGGAACUGAUAUUUUUGAGUACAUACCAGAAUUCCUCAUGGAAAAUGAGCGCAUGGUAGACAAGCAUGCAUUUUGAACACUCAUUCUCCUUGUAAUUUCUGAAUACAAACACCAGUUGGAAGGAUCUCUGCCUGCUAAGAAGCUCAUCCGUUCCACAGCUCAUCAUGACUCCACAGACUUCAUGAGAUACAUUGCCAUGGAUUGUAGUGGAGUUUUAGGCACUGACUCACAGGUGAAUGACUGAAAUACAGCCAUCUAAAAUCUGGGGCUGAAUUGUCUCCAGUAGUGCUGGACUCAACAAUUUUCUCUGUCAGCUAAAGUGAAGAGCAAAGACUCGUCUCCAUCUAUUUAUUUUCACUCAAGCAUAAAGACUAUGAUUCUAUGAACAGACAGCUAAUAAAGGUUUUCUCAUGAAGACAGAGGCAUCUAGUUCAUGUCUGUCCUGGGUUCAGCAGUAGCAGUCAUUUUUAAACCAUGACAAUGUCCCUUGUUAAACUAAAAGCUAACUAGUUAAAAUAAAGAAAUGAAUGAUAGCAACAUAACUUCAGCUUCAUUUAUUGGGAAAAAAUGCAGAGAAUAAGGACAAAAGUGAUGAAUUAGAGAUGGGUAUCUGAAGCAUGUAUGACUGCAAAUAAGUCCGAUUUCUAUUUCCCCUUGAAACUGUGCUGCUUGUUGCCCUGU
Long non-coding RNA from Melopsittacus undulatus (budgerigar), 812 nucleotides. RefSeq lists it as uncharacterized. Lineage: Eukaryota; Metazoa; Chordata; Aves; Psittaciformes; Psittaculidae. The transcript is spliced from 3 exons. The record is from RefSeq and is a predicted model, not a curated record.